CCGAACCCGAUACCCUCUUCUUCUCCCUCCCCGCCUCUCUCUCUCUCUCUCUCUAUCUCUCUCCCCCUCCUUCCCCUCUCCCACAGAUCCAAGCCCUAACCCUAGUUUCUCUCCUCGGUCCCUUUUGCUAAUGGCUUCUCUCAAAUAACACCUCCGUCGCCGGUGCUCCUCUUCACAAAUCCAAGCUCAAUCCCGAAACUCCGGCACGGCGCCGUGUGACGCAGAUGGCGGUGGGGGUGAUGGUGAGGCUCGGAUUGGAAAAUUAAGAGUCCACAGGGUAUUGAAAAUUUUGGAGAAAAAAACAAGUAUAUCCUUCCAAAAUGAUACAGAAAUUGCACUUAGGGUUAUCGGUGCCGAUGGAUGAAACAUUCUAUGCGAAACCGGUCAUUUGUCAUUCAGGCCAAAGUGGAGACCAUAGUUACGGAGGGCGACGAGACUGCGACAAUUGUGUCGAUCGUAAACAAGAUUGGAGCCACAACGCUUGUUGCAGGGCUUCAUGAUCAGAUCUUCCUCUAUAGAGCUCAAGAUCUAAGUUACGGUGUACGGAGUCUCGGCUGUCGAGUGCUUGCUUGCUGCAAUGUGUGAGGGCUUUAUAAAUGCAGAGUUCUUUCAAAUUGAAACUGCAAGGUGGGUGGCUUGGGAUUAUUGCACGAAAGCCAAAUUUAUGUCCGAUUCACUAUCCAAGUUGGAAUGUUAUGCCUCUUAUGUUCAAAACUAAACUGCUCUUGUUGACUCGGGGAACUUGGAGAAGUAAAUACCUUGAUGUUACUUUGUCAAUUAUUUUCCUUCUUUUGCAUGGAACUUGGAAAAGUUUUAAGUUUAUAUCAGUGCUCGGAAAUGAUGAAUAUUGUCUGACAUAUACUAUUUUGGUGGGAAUCCUGAAGCAAUUGAGUUCUGCUCAUAUUACUCUUUUCGUCACAUUUUGUUUGCAGCUGCAUAUACAUUACCAGAGGGCAUUCGUUUAAACUGAAAACAAUAUAUACGCUAUACGAUUAAUAAUUCAUUGUGAAUAAAGAAGUGAUGAAAAUUUUGUUUGUUCUUAUUAUUCCCUGCUUCUAUAGUAGGAGAGAAUUUUUGAUUUCUUAA
RNA transcript from Ananas comosus (pineapple), 1086 nucleotides. RefSeq lists it as uncharacterized. Lineage: Eukaryota; Viridiplantae; Streptophyta; Magnoliopsida; Poales; Bromeliaceae. The record is from RefSeq and is a predicted model, not a curated record. The transcript is spliced from 7 exons.